This 262-nucleotide long non-coding RNA is filed under the name Elaeis guineensis (African oil palm). Its description in RNAcentral is "long non-coding RNA (EGUI_LNC061722)". Lineage: Eukaryota; Viridiplantae; Streptophyta; Magnoliopsida; Arecales; Arecaceae. The record is from RNAcentral.
GCCCAUCAACUGGACAGGGGUCGGAUUGGUCACUUCUUUGCAAGGCUAUGCUAUAGCAGUGUCUGGCCUGGGCUUGGUCUCCCCUGACUUCUCUGACCCCCUGGUUGGUAGGGAAUUUCAACUUCAAAUGGUAGGUUGACACGACGGCUCGGAGAGCGUUGAGGCCAGGUCGGCCGAGGAUUGCGUUGUAGGCUGACGGUGCCUUCACUACCAAAAAAUUCACCAGAGCCCUGGAUUGUCUUGGAUAUCGACCCGCAGCUAC